UUCGCUGUGCGCUCGCGUCACCCGGUCGUCUUUUCUCAACCCACUACCCCUUUCUCUCUUGUCCUAGGUUUCUCAAAUCUCCCGGUCCCUUCUCGUUUCACUCUCGUAGUCUUCUUCUUCACCUCCUCCAGUGGCGCACGGCUUCGAUUGCGCUGCCUCUGGGCUCCAAGAGGACGUCCUCACCCGCGGCGGCGCCUCUGCGGACAAGAAGCUCCCGCUGCAGCACGAGGCGCCGAGCCGCUGCUGUGGCGGCGUCGCAUAGCUUUGCCUGUAGCUCUGGCUCCUCCGGUGCCUUCGUCAGCAUGAGCACAUGAUCCUGAAAAGUGGUUGGAGUUAAAGUUACAAAAAACUGCGAGCGUCAAUCAGCACACUCAGUAAUUUAGGGGUUGUAUUGGGGAGGAAUCGGAGGAGAAAGUACGCUAUUCUCCUGUUUAUCUUGAUGGAAAGAUGAGACGCUUCCCUGCCCAUUUUUGCAAAAACCUAAUCAACUUCUACCUUUCCUUCAACCAAUAUGACUCUGCACGGCUCGUUCUCGAAUCGAUCCCGGACCCAGUGGAUAUCUCCGUGUGGAACGGUCUCCUUGCCGCGUACUCUAAGAACAGAAUGUACCGAGAAGCCCUGCUUCUGUUUAGAAAGCUCGUGCUUUAUCCUCACCUUGAGCCGGAUGAUUACACUUACCCAAGUGUUCUAAAGGCUUGCUGGGGAUUGCGUGGUGUGAGGGAAGGUGAGAUGGUACAUGCCCGCGUGCUGAAAUCUGGUUUUGGGUCUGAUGUUGUCAUCUCGAGCUCUCUAGUGAGCAUGCAUGCAAAAUGCGAUCGAUUUGGAUCCGCAAUUAAGCUGUUCCAUGAAAUGCCCGAAAGGGAUGUUGCUUCUUGGAACACGGUGAUCUCUUGUUAUUACCAAUCCGGCCAGGCUUCGAAAGCUCUGGAGUUGUUUGAAGCUAUGAGCAGUUGCGGGCUUAAUCCGAAUUCAGUUACACUCACGACAGCACUUUCUGCUUGUGCUCGGCUUGGAGAUUUGGUGACAGGUAGGCGGAUACAUGAUGAAUUAAUCAGAAUUGAGUUUCCGAUAGAUUCGUUCAUUAGUGCUGCUCUUGUGGAUAUGUAUGGGAAGUGCGGGUGCUUGGAGAAAGCUAGAGAAGUCUUUGAGCAGAUCCGACAAAAGAGUGUUGUAACUUGGAACUCCAUGAUUGGCGGGUACUCCUUGCGAGGUGAUAGUCAUGCUUGUUUGGAGCUUUUUGUAAGGAUGAACAAAGAGGGGUUCUGUCCCACUUCAACUACUAUAUCUAGUUUGCUGAUGGCUUGUUCUAGAAAUUCUGAUAUACGGCAUGGCAAAUUCAUACAUGGAUAUCUGCUAAGACACCAUGUAGAAGUUGAUAUAUUUAUUUACAGCUCAUUAAUUGAUAUUUAUUUCAAGUGCGGCAAAGCUAGAUAUGCUGAAGAAGUAUUUAAGAUCAUGCCUAAGGAAAAUGUAGUUUCGUGGAAUGUGAUGAUUUCAGGGUAUGUGACAGUGGGCAACUACUUCAAAGCUCUUGAUAUAUUCCAUGCUAUGAGAGCUCAUGGAGUAACACCAGAUUAUAUUACGUAUACCUCCAGUUUAACUGCCUGUUCUCAAUUAGCUGCUCUUGAGAUCGGCAGGGAAAUUCAUAAGAAAAUCAACAAAAUUGGGUUGGAUUCUAAUGAGAUCGUUAUGUGUUCUCUUUUUGACAUGUAUGCGAAAUGUGGUGCGCUUAGAGAGGCAAGAGAGGCUUUUGAUAAACUACCAGUCAAGGACAUUGUCUCUUGGACUUCCAUGAUAAUGGCUUACGGUUCCCAUGGUCAAGCACAUGAUGCGUUACAGCUUUUCCAUGAAUUGCGGCAGUUGAGUUUAAAACCAGAUGGUGUAACAUUCCUUGCAGUAAUCUCUGCUUGCAGUCAUGUAGGAUUGGUUGAUGACGGGCUUUAUUUUUUUGAACAAAUGAUGCAUGAAUAUGGAAUUAAACCUGGUAUUGAGCAUUACUCUUGCAUCAUAGAUCUUCUUGGCCGCUCUGGAAGGUUGAAUGAUGCUUACAGUAUAUUUAAAAGUGUACCUGAAAGCAAAUUGGAUGCUGGGUUAAUUGGUACAAUGCUCUCAGCAUGCAGUUUGUCUAAGAACAUGAAGCUUGGACAAGAGAUGGCUAAGCUGCUUAUUCAAAUUGAUCCAAAUGAUCACUCUAAUUAUGUAGUUUUGUCAAACUUAUAUGCUUCUGUUGGAAGAUGGGAUGGGGUAAAGAAAGUACGGGUGAUAAUAAGAGAGAGAGGAUUGAAAAAGAAUCCUGGUUGUAGCUGGGUUGAGGUUGACCGAAAGAUCCAUCAAUUCUUUGUCGACGAUGAUUCUCAUCCUCAGAUACUGUUGAUAUAUAAGUGUUUACGUGGUAUUGGAAUGCACAUGGGAAAGGACAGAUCUCAUGAUAGAAUAAACAAUGGAAUGAGCUUCCAUGAUUGAUUUUUGGAAACAACUGUUUGCUGUCAAUACAUGAAUUUUUUGUUUAGAUAUAGAUGCAUGGUGUCUGAAUAUUAGGAUACGCUUUUUGAAACAUUUGUUAUCCCACAUUACAGGGUAAAAAGAGGAUAGAAGCUGAAUGAUGUUUGUGCACUACUUCUUGGUGGUCUCUCUCUUAAAGAUGGUUGCGAUAAUUGAAACGGCUCCAGGACUUCUUGAUUGGUGGUGAGAGCACUUUGGAUGGCCUACUUCGUAGGCAAUCGGUUGCUCUCAAUUGUGAUGCUAUUGCUUGAUGUUUGCGGAUUCUUUCACUAUGCGUUGGAAAGAUUAAAAAUGUGGAAGCUUGGUGCUGGGAAGCUUUUUCCGUAGUGGUAACUUCCAGUCUGUGUGGACACUAGAAGAAAUAUGAGUGGGAUUUGGAUGGUCUAAUUUAUAGGCAACCAGCUCUUGGUGAUCAUUGUACCCUCCUCAACCUAUAUCUUAAGAUGAACCAAAUCUUCUAUUUUGCUUGCUGUUGCCUUUUGCAGCAGUGUGGAUGGAAAAAAUGAAAAAAAAAGGAGUUUUGGACUGUCUACUUUCUAGGCAACCACCUUUUGGUGUUCACUAUCCCUUCCUCAACCUAUAUCUUAAGCAUGUGGAGUCCAGUUUUCAUGGCUCGGCAGCGGAGUACAGCAUGAGCUUUCUUCCUCCCUCUACUGUUUUGUGAUCAUUGGCCGUCCAUAACUUCUUGCCGGUGCCUACUAUCAUCAGCUGAGCCACCCUCUACUUCCAACUUUAUUCUCUGAAGAAGCUCAAUCUGGUGGGGCACAAUCGUUGAACAAUCUUAGCAUCUUUGGUCAACUGUAUAAUGGGAUUUACUGAAUCAGUGCAUUACACUCAGACGCUUAUUGACGGGGCCAAGUUCGACUCAACCCGGAAUUGUGGGACGCCCUUGAAUUUUAAGCUUGGUCAAGGUGAAUUUUGAGAGUGCAACUGUUGAUUAGGGAUGAAAUUUGUAAUGCAGCUUAUUAUAAUGUAAAUCCGAUCAGGCUGUUUCAAUUUGUACAUCAUCAAUAAACUGACAAAUUCAUAAUGAUUUGUUCUGUGGCAUGGUUUUUAAUUGAUUGAGCUAAUUUUUUCAUCCAAUGGAGUAUGUUAAACAAGUUCAAUUUGUCCUGAUCGAACUCAACAGGCUCAGAUUCAUGUAUAGGAGAAUUGAUUUCCUGCGUUAUGAAAACACAUUAACCAGAUUA
RNA transcript from Ananas comosus (pineapple), 3692 nucleotides. It is a transcript of the gene named pentatricopeptide repeat-containing protein At5g27110, with no coding region annotated. The record is from RefSeq and is a predicted model, not a curated record. The transcript has 10 exons. NCBI's taxonomy places the organism in Eukaryota, Viridiplantae, Streptophyta, Magnoliopsida, Poales, Bromeliaceae.